UACAAUAGUAUCAAAACCCUUACGGAAGCAGAAGUACUCAACUUCGUGUAUCCCUUGAGGCGGAUUAAGAACUCUGGAUACUAACAAACUGUCUUGUACCAGGUCGAAUAAAGCAAUUUUGUGUUAAGAAAUUCUUACAGCUCUACUUGGUGAAAUUUCCCUAGUACCUCUUCUAUUCCAGUUCGAAUAAAGCAAUUUUGUGCAAUUGGGUUUUUUCGAUUUAAUGGGUAUCUCUCAAUUCGAUUUUGUAAGGUCUUUUGAGCUCUGUGCAUCUAGAAAUGCCAAUCUGGUGGUGGGUUUAUUGCAUUUGUUCAGUACUUCAAGGUUACAUAUAUAAUGGGUCUAAUAGACUCCAACAAUGAACACUGUAGCUGUAUUUGGUGCAAGGAUGGUUCUUUAUAAAUUUUCAUCGUAUAGUUCAUUCAUUUCGAGAAAAUUAUGUGACUAUAGUUUUGAUAGUGACAAAAGUGGUAAUGGGUUUGAGUACAUUGAGGAACCCUUGAAGAGAGCAUGGAGAUAUUCAGAUUUUGAUUCUUCAGGAUAUGAAAGCUGUAAUGAAGAGCAUUUCUCCCCAAGGCAGCGUUUCUUUGAGUACGUGAGGAGCGACGCUGCAAGAGUUCUUGAUAUUCUACGACGGGAUGGCCUUGGCUUCAAUGCAAAAGCUUCUCUAAGUGAGUUGCAUAUAAGGGUCUCAGGGCUUCUUGUCAGGGAGGUCCUUGUGGGGAUUUUGAAGAACAUAAAUUAUGAGAAUAAAGAAAGGUCUGCUAUAUUAGGGUAUACUUUUUUCUUGUGGUCCGGUCAGCAGGAAAAGUACAGGCAUACUGUGAAUACUUAUCAUUUGAUAAUGAAGAUAUUAGCAGAAUGUGAGGAGUUUAAGGCAAUGUGGAGACUGCUUGAUGAAAUGGUUGAGAAUGGUUUCUCAACUACAGCACGGACAUUUAACAUAUUGAUCUGUACUUGUGGUGAGGCAGGAUUGGCUAGGAAAGUCGUGGAGAGGUUCAUUAAAUCGAAGAAAUUCAAUUAUAGGCCAUUCAAACAUUGUUACAAUGCAAUCCUAUAUUCACUUUUUGCAGUUCAUCAAUACAAGCUGAUUGAGUGGGUACAUCAGCACAUGCUAGUUGAGGGUUAUUCCCCAGAUAUUCUAACUUAUAAUAUUCUUAUGUGUACAAAGUAUAGAUUGGGGAAGUUGGAUCAGUUUAAUAGAUUGCUUGAUGAAAUGGCUAGGAGUGGAUUUUCUCCAGAUUUUCAUACUUAUAAUAUCCUUCUCCAUGUUCUUGGUAAAGGGGACAAGCCACUUGCGGCACUUAAUCUUUUGAAUCAUAUGAAGGACGUUGGCUUUGAUCCCAAUGUCCUUCACUUCACUACUUUGAUAGAUGGACUAAGCCGAGCUGGGAAUUUAGAUGCCUGCAAGUAUUUCUUUGAAGAAAUGAUAAAAAAUGGAUGCAAGCCAGAUGUUGUUUGUUACACUGUAAUGAUCACAGGAUACAUAAUGGCAGGAGAGCUUGAAAAGGCUCAGGCAUUGUUUGAUGAGAUGACAGCCAGGGGCCAGUUGCCAAAUGUAUUUACCUAUAAUUCUAUGAUUCGUGGGUUUUGUAUGGCAGGGAGGUUUAAGGAGGCCUGUUCCAUGCUCAAUGAAAUGGAAUCCAGAGGAUGUAGUCCUAAUUUUCUUGUGUACAGCACCCUGGUGAGCAAUAUGCAGAAUGCUGGAAAGCUUUCUGAAGCCCGUGAAGUAAUAAGACAGAUGGUGGAGAAGGGGCAAUAUGCCCAUCUAGUCUCAAGGUUCAGCGAAUAUAGGAGAUGCUGAAGUAAUAGACCAUCUGCCUUGGAGAAUUUUUUCUGUAACGUCACUAGUAUAAUACUUAUCGAUUUGGCUCAGGUUGAUGACUCGUAUCUCCCUGUCUUUAAUAGAUGUCCUGGAAAUUGAAAGGUGCGUGGAGCUACAUACUAGGAUGAUUCAAGAAGUGCAGGGGAAAAGCUAAGAACUGCAUGCUCAAGGAUGUAUUUACCAUCAAUCUGAUCUGUCCCCUUAACGGGAGCAAAAGUGGGCUUUUUGGUCAAUCUAGAGCACGAGUCUCCUUUUAUUGCUGCUUGGCUGGUUUCCUUUUCAUCUGAAGUCUGAACCAUGUUUAAAGGAAUGGCCUAGUGAAGACGACUUUAGGCUUACACAUAAACUGAUAGUUUGGUGAUGGUCAUCAAAGCUGAUGUCAUAAGCUUGUCUAGUUUAUGAUUUUCCUCUCAUGACCUUAAUAACAUCCCUUAGAAGUCAGCAACCUCAAACAGCUGGAUGCUGAUGGGAUUACAGAUCCACUGUUUUUGUUCUCCAUGAUGCUUUUCUGCUGCUGUGAUUCUCUAUGCCGUUAUCUUGUGAUAUCAUUCUUGACAAAGUCCAACGCUGUGAACAUGAUAUUGGAUUCUAAAUUUAUCUGUGAUCAUGACCAAAAGCUGGAGAUAAUCUGGAAAUUCUGCUUCAGCUAAAGAUAUGCAGAAGCAUGCCAAGGCACCCUACGCUGGAUUUGUAUUGAGAACAGACACAGUCACUGUUCAGGUUUUGUCAGCAUCAUCUAUAGCAAUGAGCAGCCCUGCUUCAAUCUGUCUUUCACUUUAACCCUUAGUCCUUCAACUUGUUCUUUUAUCAUGCAACAACCUAUAACAGAAUGAAUACUUCCAGAAGGCCACCUUGAAACUAAUUUUCAUCUCGUCUGAUCUGUUGAGAGGCAGGAGAUUUAUAUAUUGGAGAUCUAGCCCUAAAUAGAGAAUAAUGCUCAAGUGAUUGGUAAAACUUCAUUGACUAACUACAGCCAAAACCUGCUGAAGUAUGAUGCUAAAUAUUCAUGUAGUAUGAGGUUGACUUCACCGUCUCCUAUUACUCAUUUUCUGGAUCAUUCUUGAUAUCUUUUGCAUUUGUAAAACUAAUAGACUAACCAACAGGUUUCAUAUGAUUGUAAACCCCCUAGAAUUUAUCAAGUGACAUCUCUUUGCAAUUUUAUCGCCAUUAAGCUUUCACGAAA
This is an RNA transcript of Hevea brasiliensis (rubber tree), 3008 nucleotides long. It is a transcript of the gene named pentatricopeptide repeat-containing protein At3g60050, with no coding region annotated. NCBI's taxonomy places the organism in Eukaryota, Viridiplantae, Streptophyta, Magnoliopsida, Malpighiales, Euphorbiaceae. The record is from RefSeq and is a predicted model, not a curated record. The transcript has 4 exons.